Molecule: long non-coding RNA, 441 nt
Organism: Brassica rapa (field mustard)
Lineage: Eukaryota; Viridiplantae; Streptophyta; Magnoliopsida; Brassicales; Brassicaceae
Source: RefSeq, a predicted model, not a curated record
GCUCAGGUUUUACACACCUCUUUACUUGGUUUUUUUUUUCAGACAACCUCUUACUUGGUUUUGCCUUAUUUAAAUGUUCGAGUUAACUAGGUGUUGUCAAAAAAAAAAAAAAUUUAACUAGGUGUAUGAACAGGAAAUUUAGUGGAUUAAAAUUUAAAACCAAUAUUUUUCUAUACCUAAAAAAAGUAAUUAUUUCAUGAAAUUUUAGUUGAACUUUCAUUUUAUAAAGACUUUGCUUUUCUUGGUUAAUUUUAAAAACGUUUGGUUAGAGAGUUAGGCAUAUUUAAUUAUUAUUUUUAACGCUAAUUUAUUGUGAUAUUACAAUUAUAAUAAAAGAAAAUCAUAUUACAAUUACAAUUAUUAUUUAGUGUUACCAAAAAAAAAGUGAAAAGGUGGCUUUGAAGGAAAGACCUUGUCAAAUAAUGGAAGAAAGAAAAUUGA